ACGUAGGGGGCAAGCGUUAUCCGGAUUUACUGGGUGUAAAGGGAGCGUAGACGGAUGUGCAAGUCUGAAGUGAAAGCCCGGGGCUCAACCCCGGGACUGCUUUGGAAACUGUGUAUCUGGAGUGCCGGAGAGGUAAGCGGAAUUCCCAGUGUAGCGGUGAAAUGCGUAGAUAUUGGGAGGAACACCAGUGGCGAAGGCGGCUUACUGGACGGUAACUGACGUUGAGGCUCGAAAGCGUGGGGAGCAAACAG
This 251-nucleotide ribosomal RNA is filed under the name uncultured bacterium. Its description in RNAcentral is "partial 16S ribosomal RNA". It matches the Rfam family "Bacterial small subunit ribosomal RNA", at positions 525 to 775 of the family's 1533-position model. The record is from RNAcentral.